GUGUUUUGGUAAAUUACAUGUUUUAGCACUUAAAGCACUUAAAUAACAAUAAAUAACAUCUGUCUCAUGCUUCUGUCAGUCCUUUAGUCUCUGUAGACAGCUAGAGGAGUCUGGGACAACAUUAUAUGCUUCAUAUCAUAAUGAGGAGCCAUUAAAAACAGGGGGAAUCUGAAAACCAUGAGGGACAACCCCUCUCAUGCUCUCUAUGCUGAGCUGAGGAGCUCCUGCAGCCACAUGCAGCCACAUGCAGCCCCAGGCCUCAAAGCGCUUUGGAGGCUCAUUUGUGCCGUCAGCCAUCAGGCUCCACAGCAACAAACUGACAGAUAUGUGCCUGAUUUUAUCUGAGACAUUUUUCUGGUUUUAAAUGGUUGUAAAUAAUUAUUAUUGAUUUUAUGGUGUAAAUAGUGUGUAAAUACUGCAUCUCUUCUUUUAUAUUCCUUUGUGCUGCUAUUUCGACCUAAAUUUCCUCCACGGGGGAUUAAUAAAGUUAUGGCUUAUCUGGUCUUAUCUUAUAAA
Molecule: long non-coding RNA, 516 nt
Organism: Micropterus dolomieu (smallmouth bass)
Lineage: Eukaryota; Metazoa; Chordata; Actinopteri; Centrarchiformes; Centrarchidae
Exons: 2
Source: RefSeq, a predicted model, not a curated record